UCACCCUUCAAGCCCUGCGCUUGGUGUUGGACGGCUUGGUCGCAUAUCUCGUUCGACCCCUCCUAAAGACAAUGACGGCGGCCUGUGGUUCCCCCGGUACACUGAGCUUUUUAACUGAGCACGUAUCGGACAAGGGCGCCCGGGUCACGGUCCUCUCCCCGUAACGGGAAACACUUUUAACUAAGG
RNAcentral lists this unclassified non-coding RNA (186 nucleotides) under uncultured Cladophialophora. RNAcentral's name for it is "sequence contains ITS2". The record is from RNAcentral. Lineage: Eukaryota; Fungi; Ascomycota; Eurotiomycetes; Chaetothyriales; Herpotrichiellaceae.